UACAGAGGGUGCGAGCGUUAAUCGGAAUUACUGGGCGUAAAGCGUGCGCAGGCGGUGAUGUAAGACAGGUGUGAAAUCCCCGGGCUUAACCUGGGAACUGCAUUUGUGACUGCAUCGCUGGAGUGUGUCAGAGGGGGGUAGAAUUCCACGUGUAGCAGUGAAAUGCGUAGAUAUGUGGAGGAAUACCGAUGGCGAAGGCAGCCCCCUGGGAUAACACUGACGCUCAUGCACGAAAGCGUGGGGAGCAAACAGG
Molecule: ribosomal RNA, 253 nt
Filed under: uncultured bacterium
Lineage: Bacteria
Description: partial 16S ribosomal RNA
Rfam family: Bacterial small subunit ribosomal RNA
Source: RNAcentral